CCCAGACUCCUACGGGAGGCAGCAGUGGGGGAUAUUGCACAAUGGGGGGAACCCUGAUGCAGCGACGCCGCGUGGGUGAAGAAGCGCCUCGGCGCGUAAAGCCCUGUCAGCAGGGAAGAAAAUGACGGUACCUGAAGAAGAAGCCCCGGCUAACUACGUGCCAGCAGCCGCGGUAAUACGUAGGGGGCAAGCGUUAUCCGGAUUUACUGGGUGUAAAGGGGGCGCAGACGGCAAUGCAAGCCAGGAGUGAAAGCCCGGGGCCCAACCCCGGGACUGCUCUUGGAACUGCAUGGCUGGAGUACAGGAGGGGCAGGCGGAAUUCCUAGUGUAGCGGUGAAAUGCGUAGAUAUUAGGAGGAACACCAGUGGCGAAGGCGGCCUGCUGGGCUUUUACUGACGCUGAGGCUCGAAAGUGUGGGGAGCAAACAGGAUUAGAUACCCCGGUAUU
RNAcentral lists this ribosomal RNA (447 nucleotides) under uncultured bacterium. RNAcentral's name for it is "partial 16S ribosomal RNA". It matches the Rfam family "Bacterial small subunit ribosomal RNA", at positions 330 to 794 of the family's 1533-position model. The record is from RNAcentral.